This is a long non-coding RNA of Bactrocera neohumeralis, 3432 nucleotides long. RefSeq lists it as uncharacterized. Lineage: Eukaryota; Metazoa; Arthropoda; Insecta; Diptera; Tephritidae. The transcript is spliced from 3 exons. The record is from RefSeq and is a predicted model, not a curated record.
UGUUGUCUACAGUGCGAAAAAGCGGCCGUCACGCGUUCGUGAAACUGCUGAAGCAGCGUGCAACAGCAGCAGCAGCAGCAGCACAAAAAUACCACUAAUACCAAAGCAAAUUGAUACCACGGUCCACACAUUUGAAAGAGUGCAGGCGAUUUUUUUUUUAACACUCAUACGCCACGUAGCACCUUGUGUACGCGCGCGUUCGCGUUUGUAGUUGUUUGUGUGUCUGUUGUCGGCGGUGCGUGUGGCAACUUCAUUUUCUUGCAGCCAAUGUGAAGUUUUCGCUGCAUUUGCACCCGCGCGCGUUGUUGUAGCUCCGGUUGCAAUGUGAUUGUUAAGCGUGCAAAAUUCUAUUAAGCAAAUAAAGAGUCGUGGAGGAAAAAGUGUCACGAAAAUGUGUGUUAAUAUUUUGAAAAGAAUUUUGUGCAAAGAGAAAAAUCCAGCAACGAUAAUGUGACACGCUCGCCUUUGUUAUUGUUGUGCUCCUUAAGUGACAGCAGUUUACGCAACAUUCUGCAUCUGCUUCUGCUUCGGUUUUUUCUCCUUUAUUUUUCACUUUCACUCUCUACUGUUGCUGUGCCUACACGCCUAUCGUGUACUUCUCCAGCGGCUCUGGGGACGUCUGAAACGCGCGCGCAAGUUUUAUUUCCCUUAAUACCUAACGAUAACUUGGUCGCUUUGCUCUUGCCUACAAAUAUACAAACGUACAUGUGUGCAUAACGGUAUUGUUUUAUGCAUAAUACCAAAAAAAUUUAAAAUAUUAUAUUCAGCCUGUGACCAGCGCUCCGUGACACAAUAAUGUGAAUUAGUUUCGCUCUACAAAUGACAGACAAUUUCUGAAAUUUAAACAGAAAAAAUUGGCACAUUUAAUUGAUGAUUGCAUUCGUCCCUGAAACUAAGUGCCAAAGUCCCAAACAACCAUCAGCAAAUCAACAAUAACAACAUUAGACAACUAACUGACAAACCAAUAAUUCAGCAAUAAACCAAUUGCAACCAGUUAGCCGAUUGACAAGCGACGGCAGGUAGCCAUCGCAGAGCGACGCAGCGGCCAGCCGAAAACCAAUACAUACAAACCCACACACCUACGUACAUAGCAACAAUUGUUUGCGCCGUCAGUGUCACCAGAGAAUAAUAUAGAGAAUCUGUCUUAUUUAUUGGAAAUUAAAUGCAAUUGCGAAAAAGCGCAGAAAUCACAUCAAACGCCGUCAAGUGUUGAUUUUUAUUCAAUUAUUCUUUAAUAAAAAAGUGCAAAUUUACGCCAGUGGCUAAAAAACAACAAAGCAAACGAGAAGUGGCAAUAAAUUAAUAAUUUAAAAGACAGUUCUGUGGAAAAGAGAAAAGCAAAUUUGUGCAUGUGUGGCGCUCCGAAAAAGAAAACACAAAAAAGAUUAAAGUAUUUACGUAUAUAUUUAAUUAUUUGCACAUUUUUGUGAUGAAAAUAUAAAAACAAAAAAAUUUAAUCAAAAUACUGAAAUCCCUUUGAGAAUUGCAUACUUAAUACAAAACGAAAAUUAAAAAUUCAUACAAAAUGUAAAGUGAUUAAAUUACCUUAACAGUACAACAACAAAUCAGCACAGGUGCACGCCAUAUACAUAAAUCAGAAAAAUCCAAUAACGGUUUAUCACGCAUAAAGUCAAUAUAUGCAUAUUAAUUACACAAUAACAUUUAGUGACCGUAAUAAAGCGGAAUAUCAAGCAGAUAGCGCUGUAAAAAUUAACUAAUUAAAAGUACAAUAAUUCACAAACUUAAAAGAUAUAAAUAAACAUUGCAACGCUAAUUGAGUUACGCGCUCCGGAAGAAAACAAUGGCGACGCCGGGACACCCAUUGCGCUGUGCAGAGACGCCAACAGCCUCAACUGUAACACUAACGACGCCGUCGGCGAUAACAGCGACAGCAGCGACAACAUAAACACAGCCACUGUUAAAGAAUUACAACUAACAGUCGUCGCUUUAACAGCAGCAGCCGAAACGACAGCACUGUUCGAGUAGCAGUAGAAACUGUUAAUAUUGUGUUCACUACAGUCGGCGUUGCAGCGGCAGCGCAGCGACUGCGAAAUGUAACUAAGCAGCGCACGAAUAUAAACAACAAACGCAGCCAAGCGCCAACGCUCACUGGAGCACAACGAAAAGCGCAGAGCUUGUGAGUACAGCAGCUCUGUUUAUUGUAAACACACGCAUAUGUACAUUGCUGCCGCCAUAACGUCAUCGGGGUCGCGUGCUCUGCGAAACGUGCAAUGCAGCGGCGUGCGUGAGCCGCAAAGCUUUUGAAGAACCUUUGAUCGCCGGGUUGCCCACACACCGCGUAUGACUCCCUCCUGCGCAUUCCCCCCAUAUGUGCACCACACACUUUCGGUCCACUAAAAGCCGAACUUAAAGCGUCGUUGGUCAGCGCGACGAUCGCGAAUUAUACGCUGCUUUGUUUGCUGACUUCAUUCGUGUCUCAGCUGCGAACCGUUGCAGACGACGUUAGAGCGAACGAACGACGCUUAAAGCACAUCAACUACAACAUCGCAUACAUAACGAAAAGUGUGUUUUUGUGUUGUUGUUGUAUACAAACGCGUGUUGUACGUCGAAUUGGUCGUUAGCGGAGCGCAUGCGGCAACAUUGCGGUGCUAAAGGUGCAACGAAGCUUGCAUAAAAAAAAAACAAACGAAUGAAACUACAACAACACAGCUGGCUGACAAAAGUGCAUAAAGCGAAAUAGAAUAGGUGAAGUGGCGUGGAAUAAAUGCGAAAGCGGAAUGCGUUAAUACGCUUUGCUUGCCUGCUGAUAUUUGAUCGGUCGCUUGCUUUGACUCGCGCUGCUGGUGGUAUUGCAUGUGCAGCGAUCGUCGGUAACAGCUGUUGUUGCGAGUUGUCGUAAAAUCAACUGUUGUUGAUUAGACAAAUAUUUAUUGCAAAAGGUGAAAAAUAUUGGAAAAUAAAGCGGCAGUUGAAAAGUAGCAAACCUACUUGUUAUUGUUGUUGUUGUUAUUAUUUUUGAAAAUAAAGUAUUUGUGCCUUUUGAAAUUCGAGAAUAAAUUAAUAAAUAAUUAAAAAAAUUUUUUUUGAAAUAAAAAAAAUUGUUUGAAAUAAUAAUAAAAAAUAAAUAAAAUAAAAUAAAAAAAAUUUUUUAAUAAUAUUUUUUGGCAAAAAAUAUUAUUCUGUGUAUAAAUAAAAACCAGGAAGGUGUGUGCUAAACAUAUAAAAGUGCAAAGCCAUCUUUAAAACGGUAAAAGCAGCGAAACAAGUUAUACGCUGUGGUGCGAAAAUCAUAAAUUCCAAUAAAGCAAAUACCAAACAAGGAAGCAAGCUUUUCAAAUAUAAAAAGCAAAUACUGUUGAAUAAAAAUUGUAAACACAAAAUAAAUAUAAAAGUACUGAAAAACAAAUUUAAUUGAUGAAAAAAUAUUUAAAAACUGUUAGAGUCUAAAAUAAAAGAAAUCAGUGAAAAAAA